Frankliniella occidentalis (western flower thrips) is the source of this 500-nucleotide long non-coding RNA. RefSeq lists it as uncharacterized. The transcript is spliced from 3 exons. Lineage: Eukaryota; Metazoa; Arthropoda; Insecta; Thysanoptera; Thripidae. The record is from RefSeq and is a predicted model, not a curated record.
GCGGCCGCCUAGCUGCGGCCGGCGCGUCCCGAGGCUGCUAUUGUUAUUUGUCAGUGGACUCGCGGCCUUCGCUCUGCUGUGACCCUCUGCUGCCUGCUCAAGAUGGACCUGCCGCCCCUAAUCGGGGAAUUCGAGUGCCUGCGGUGGUUAAACGAACUGGCUGAGGAAUAUGCCGAGGUCGCGGAGGAGGUCGCUCGCCGCCGGGCCGCGUGCGAGGCCACGAUUGCGUACCUGAGAAUGCGCGUUGGCGGUGCUCGGCGGUCACCAACCCCCAUGCCGUCACUUGUCGAGUCAGGCGCUCCGGCGUCCGCUGCUCCGGGGCCGUCGCGCGUCGAAGGCGCGGCGCACACUGCGUCGCGGAGCGUGGUUCCAUACUCCGCGGGGUCGCCGGGGCGCGGAGGCGCGGCGGCUCGUGGUACCGGAAGACGCCGCCGUCGUGCGGCGAUCGCCACCGUGUUGCCUGCAUGGCGAUAAGCAGAAUAUUCUGCUCCAUUAAGGAU